Triticum aestivum (bread wheat) is the source of this 136-nucleotide non-coding RNA. The record is from Rfam. Lineage: Eukaryota; Viridiplantae; Streptophyta; Magnoliopsida; Poales; Poaceae.
UAAAUACUCCCUCCGUCCGAAAAUACUUGUCAUCAAAAUGAAUAAAAAAUGAUGUAUCUAGAACUAAAAUACAUCUAGAUACAUCCCUCUUUAUCCAUUUUGAUGACAAGUAUUUCCCGGACGGAGGGAGUAUAAC